This 372-nucleotide ribosomal RNA is filed under the name uncultured organism. RNAcentral's name for it is "bacterial SSU rRNA". It matches the Rfam family "Bacterial small subunit ribosomal RNA", at positions 526 to 896 of the family's 1533-position model. The record is from RNAcentral.
CGGAGGGUGCAAGCGUUGCUCGGAAUUAUUGGGCGUAAAGCGCGUGUAGGCGGCUUUAUAAGUUUGGUGUGAAAUCCCGGGGCUUAACUCCGGAACUGCACUGAAUACUGUAAAGCUAGAGGGCGAGAGAGGAUGGUGGAAUUCCUGGUGUAGGGGUGAAAUCCGUAGAUAUCAGGAGGAACAUCAGUGGCGAAGGCGGCCAUCUGGCUCGCACCUGACGCUGAGACGCGAAAGCGUGGGUAGCAAACAGGAUUAGAUACCCUGGUAGUCCACGCCCUAAACGAUGAUUACUAGACGUCACGAAGCCUAAUCUUUGUGGUGUCGCAGCUAACGCAUUAAGUAAUCCGCCUGGGAAGUACGGUCGCAAGAUUA